AUGUUGUUUUGCAGUGGGGAAGUGGUUCCUCCUCAACUCUCCUCCUGGCGAAAUCCAAUUUGUUGCCAAAGGCCUCACCUUUUACCCCCAAAGCGUCACUCUUUUAUCACUUUUAUUUCGCUUUUCUAAUUUUGUUUCAAUCAUUUGAAUCGCAUUUUGCAUUUGAUGUUUGGCUUUGGUGGCAGAUGUGAAGGAGGCUGCGCCAUAGGCAUCCCCUCGAAAUGCCCGGUUGAAUUGGAGACGUAUGUUUUCUUUUCUUUUUUUCCCUUCAAAAUUGAAGCCUCCUCUUUGCUGAAUAAAGGCUCCUCUUGGUUUUAGUGUCUCAUUUCGAUGAAUUUUGGGCUCUCAAAUGUGUCUGCAAAAUUGCAAACCUUUCUUUUGUAUUGGGGUUCCAAUUUUCCGGGUGAUAAGUCUUUCCUCUUUUUUUUAAAUAUUUACUCUCAUGUCUCUGUCCAAAACAUUUUUUUUAUAGUACGUUUUGUGCAAUGUACAAAUAUAUUAUAGGAAUAGAAGAUGAAUCUGUCUUUUCAACAAACAGCAAGAGUUACAUAUUCUGCGAGUACUUUACUCCACCAGUUUUAGAAUGAAUUUUUUUAUAAAAACAUUAUCUCUUUAAACUCAACAUUUAAUUUUGAAUUUUCCAAUGAAAAUGACACAAUUUUUGGUACAGUUUUCUUCCGAUAAUUGGAGUAGGCAAGUAGCAAAGGAUAAACUAUCAAAAUCGUAGGUAGGUUACAGGAACCCAAAUUAUUGUAAAAUUUGAUUGGUAAAGAUUUAAAAGUAUGUUAGAUUGACAAUAAAAAAGUGAAAGAUCAAUUACAGAGAAAUGGGUGGCGCGAGUGGUCUUAAUUGUUGCAUGUCUUCCUUAUAUGUGCAUAUUCUGUCUAUUAUUCUCUAUUUCAUGAUUGAUUUGAUUAUCUGUUUUUAUCCUCUAGGUUUGUUGGGAUGUUAAUAAGGUUUUGUGCUUUUGCAAAAUAUUGGUUCAUCCUUUCAAUUUAUAUGAUAUGAAUGUGUCCUGUAGUAUGCGUAUUUUAAAUUUCUUAUUUGACGAUUUAUGAGCUGAAAUGGGAUGUGCCACAAUUUGGUACAUACAUGCCGCCACUAAGCUGUGAUUUGAUUUGGUAUUUGUGGAAGUUUUGCAACUCAUUUAUAGAUUCGUACAUACGGACCUUUAAGAAUGAAAAUUUCCUUUUAUGGCAACCCAUAACAAAUACCAAUGUGGCUUGCAGGGCUUGGAUUGUGCAUCGAGUACUGAAGAGCUUGGAUUGUGCAGCAAGUACUGAAGUUGUUGUGGCACUGGAACACCAAGGAGUUUGUAAGUGA
This 1323-nucleotide long non-coding RNA is filed under the name Prunus dulcis (almond). RNAcentral describes it as "sRNA ncRNA". The record is from RNAcentral. Lineage: Eukaryota; Viridiplantae; Streptophyta; Magnoliopsida; Rosales; Rosaceae.